UCGAGAGGCUUCGGCAAUGGGGGAAACCCUGACCGAGCGACGCCGCGUGGGUGAUGAAGAUUCUCGGAUCGUAAAACCCUGUCAGGUGGGAUGAAAAACCAUUCGGUUAAUACCCGAGUGGCUUGACAGUACCACCAGAGGAAGCUCCGGCCAACUCCGUGCCAGCAGCCGCGGUAACACGGGGGGAGCAAGCGUUGUUCGGAUUCAUUGGGCGUAAAGAGCUCGUAGGCCGCUCUGUAAGUCGGAAGUGAAAGACCACGGCUCAACCGUGGAAACGCUUUCGAAACUGUGGAGCUUGAGGCCGGGAGAGGAGAUCGGAAUUCCUGGUGUAGCGGUGAAAUGCGUAGAUAUCUGGAGGAACACCGGUGGCGAAGGCGGCAUCCUGGACCGGUAUUGACGCUGAGGCGCGAAAGCCAGGGGAGCAAACGGGAUUAGAUACCCCGGUAGUCCCUGAGCGGGCUGGCAAGGCGCAU
This 473-nucleotide ribosomal RNA is filed under the name uncultured bacterium. RNAcentral describes it as "bacterial SSU rRNA". It matches the Rfam family "Bacterial small subunit ribosomal RNA", at positions 355 to 825 of the family's 1533-position model. The record is from RNAcentral.